RNAcentral lists this small nuclear RNA (116 nucleotides) under Crocodylus porosus (Australian saltwater crocodile). Its description in RNAcentral is "U1 spliceosomal RNA (ENSCPRG00005016915.1)". The record is from RNAcentral. Lineage: Eukaryota; Metazoa; Chordata; Crocodylia; Crocodylidae.
AUACUGACUGCAAGACUCUUAGCUUUUGGUUUUCACCCCUGCGAGUUUCCCAAAUGCAGGAAACUUGACUGUACAAUUUUGUGGUAAUGGGGGAACUGUGUUUGUGCUUUCCCUCU